RNAcentral lists this ribosomal RNA (450 nucleotides) under uncultured bacterium. Its description in RNAcentral is "bacterial SSU rRNA". It matches the Rfam family "Bacterial small subunit ribosomal RNA", at positions 328 to 792 of the family's 1533-position model. The record is from RNAcentral.
CGUCCAGACUCCUACGGGAGGCAGCAGUGGGGGAUAUUGGACAAUGGGGGAAACCCUGAUCCAGCGACGCCGCGUGAGUGAAGAAGUAUUUCGGUAUGUAAAGCUCUGUCAGCAGGGAAGAAAGAAAUGACGGUACCUGACCAAGAAGCCCCGGCUAACUACGUGCCAGCAGCCGCGGUAAUACGUAGGGGGCAAGCGUUAUCCGGAUUUACUGGGUGUAAAGGGGGCGCAGACGGUAAUGCAAGCCAGGAGUGAAAGCCCGGGGCCCAACCCCGGGACUGCUCUUGGAACUGCAUGGCUGGAGUACAGGAGGGGCAGGCGGAAUUCCUAGUGUAGCGGUGAAAUGCGUAGAUAUUAGGAGGAACACCGGUGGCGAAGGCGGCCUGCUGGACUGCGACUGACGUUGAGGCUCGAAAGCGUGGGGAGCGAACAGGAUUAGAUACCCUAGUA